GCCGCGUGAGUGAGGAAGGUUUUCGGAUUGUAAAGCUCUGUCGAGCGGAAAGAAGUGCAUGGUGGUUAAUAUCCAUCAUGCUUGACGGUACCGCUAAAGGAAGCACCGGCUAACUCCGUGCCAGCAGCCGCGGUAAUACGGGGGGUGCAAGCGUUGUUCGGAAUCAUUGGGCGUAAAGCGCGUGUAGGCGGCUGGACAAGUCAGAUGUGAAAGCCCUGGGCUUAACCCAGGAAGUGCAUUUGAAACUGUUCAGCUAGAGUAAGGGAGAGGAAAGUGGAAUUCCUGGUGUAGAGGUGAAAUUCGUAGAUAUCAGGAGGAACACCGGUGGCGAAGGCGACUUUCUGGCCCUAUACUGACGCUGAGACGCGAAAGCGUGGGUAGCAAACAGGAUUAGAUACCCUGGUAGUCCACGCUGUAAACGAUGUUCACUAGGUGUUGGGGGUAUUGACCCUUCCAGUGCCGCAGCUAACGCAUUAAGUGAACCGCCUGGGGGAGUACGGUCGCAAGAUUAAAACUCAAAGGAAUU
RNAcentral lists this ribosomal RNA (526 nucleotides) under uncultured bacterium. RNAcentral describes it as "bacterial SSU rRNA". It matches the Rfam family "Bacterial small subunit ribosomal RNA", at positions 396 to 911 of the family's 1533-position model. The record is from RNAcentral.